GAAAUGCGAUACGUAAUGCGAAUUGCAGAAUUCAGUGAAUCAUCGAAUCUUUGAACGCAAGUUGCGCUUUCGAGAGCCCUCGGAAGCAUGCCUCUCUGAGUAUCGGUUUCUAUAUCUCUCACACACCUGUGUGUGGGGAGAAUGGGAGUUGCAGCAAUGUGUAUGCGCAUCUCUUGAAGUCAGCACGUCGGCCAAAGUCCAUCGGGUUCUUGGAACGAUAUAAUCCGUCAUGGCGCCAGAAAACCAUACACAAGAUCUCAGAUGAGGUAAGACUACCCGCCGAAUUUAA
This 289-nucleotide unclassified non-coding RNA is filed under the name uncultured fungus. RNAcentral's name for it is "sequence contains ITS1". The stretch from base 1 to 105 matches the Rfam family "5.8S ribosomal RNA", at positions 50 to 154 of the family's 154-position model. Lineage: Eukaryota; Fungi. The record is from RNAcentral.